This 497-nucleotide ribosomal RNA is filed under the name uncultured bacterium. Its description in RNAcentral is "partial 16S ribosomal RNA". It matches the Rfam family "Bacterial small subunit ribosomal RNA", at positions 28 to 507 of the family's 1533-position model. The record is from RNAcentral.
GAUGAACGCUGGCGGCGUGCCUAAUACAUGCAAGUCGAGCGAACAGACGAGGAGCUUGCUCCUCUGACGUUAGCGGCGGACGGGUGAGUAACACGUGGAUAACCUACCUAUAAGACUGGGAUAACUUCGGGAAACCGGAGCUAAUACCGGAUAAUAUAUUGAACCGCAUGGUUCAAUAGUGAAAGACGGUUUUGCUGUCACUUAUAGAUGGAUCCGCGCCGCAUUAGCUAGUUGGUAAGGUAACGGCUUACCAAGGCAACGAUGCGUAGCCGACCUGAGAGGGGGGUCGGCCCCACCUGAAAGUGGACACGGGCCAGACUCCCAAGGGGGGGCGCAGUAGGGAAGCUUUCCCAAAGGGGGGAAACCCUGAGGGGCAAAGGCGGGGGGGGGAAGAAGGGUUUUGGGUCGGAAAACCUUUUUAUUUGGGAAAAAAAAAAUGGGAAAGAAAUGAUGACCGUUUGACGGGAACUAAUCAAAAAGCCACGGGUAAAUUCGGG